AGAUGCAUCUCCCACUCCCAG
This 21-nucleotide microRNA is filed under the name Monodelphis domestica (gray short-tailed opossum). RNAcentral's name for it is "mdo-miR-12312-3p". Lineage: Eukaryota; Metazoa; Chordata; Mammalia; Didelphimorphia; Didelphidae. The record is from miRBase by way of RNAcentral.